Molecule: ribosomal RNA, 252 nt
Filed under: uncultured bacterium
Lineage: Bacteria
Description: partial 16S ribosomal RNA
Rfam family: Bacterial small subunit ribosomal RNA
Source: RNAcentral
UGGGGAAUAUUGCACAAUGGGCGGAAGCCUGAUGCAGCAACGCCGCGUGAGUGAUGAAAGGUCUUCGGAUUGUAAAGCUCUGUCUUUUGGGACGAUAAUGACGGUACCAAAGGAGGAAGCCACGGCUAACUACGUGCCAGCAGCCGCGGUAAUACGUAGGUGGCGAGCGUUGUCCGGAUUUACUGGGCGUAAAGGGUGCGUAGGCGGAUGUUUAAGUGAGAUGUGAAAUACCCGGGCUUAACUUGGGCGCUG